GAAAAGAAACUAACUAGGAUUCCCUUAGUAACGGCGAGUGAACCGGGAUGAGCUCAAAUUUAAAAUCUGGCGUCUUUCAGGCGUCCGAGUUGUAAUCUAUAGAGGCGUUUUCCGCGCCGGACCGCGUCCAAGUCCCUUGGAAUAGGGUAUCAAAGAGGGUGACAAUCCCGUACUUGACGCGACAACCGGUGCUCUGUGAUACGUUCUCAACGAGUCGAGUUGUUUGGGAAUGCAGCUCUAAACGGGUGGUAAAUUCCAUCUAAGGCUAAAUAUUGGCGAGAGACCGAUAGCGAACAAGUACCGUGAGGGAAAGAUGAAAAGCACUUUGGAAAGAGAGUUAAACAGCACGUGAAAUUGUUAAAAGGGAAACGAUUGAAGUCAGUCGUGUGAAAGGUAUUCAGCCGUCUCUGGCGGUGUAUUUGCCUUUCACGGGUCAACAUCAGUUUAGUCCGGUAGAAAAAGGCGGGAGGAAGGUGGCACCCUCGGGUGUGUUAUAGCCUCCUGUCACAUGUGCCGGAUUAGACUGAGGAACGCAGCUUGCAGCAAUGCCGGGGUUCGCCCACGUACAAGCUUAGGAUGUU
This 581-nucleotide ribosomal RNA is filed under the name Papiliotrema laurentii. RNAcentral describes it as "partial large subunit ribosomal RNA". It matches the Rfam family "Eukaryotic large subunit ribosomal RNA", at positions 56 to 627 of the family's 3401-position model. The record is from RNAcentral. Lineage: Eukaryota; Fungi; Basidiomycota; Tremellomycetes; Tremellales; Rhynchogastremaceae.